UUGUCUACAGCAUAUAAAUUCAAAACAGAUGGGGGAGAGACACAUCAGAUCAGAGGCGCUGUACUGCUCUGGACACCAAUUACGGUACACAAAAUGUGUCACAUGCCUUUUCACAGAGCUACUAGUGUGUGAUGUGACCUUGAAGACCAGAGAUAAAAAUGCUUCGAAUUCCGAGAGGCAGGCCCGAGGAUACUCUUUCCAGGAAGUGUGGGACCCACAGAAGCUGUCACUCUUAAAAACAGAUGUAAACGUCAUAAAUCUUUCCAGAGAGCAGAAAUUCUGAUGGUACCAAAUUGGGAUAACCUCUGCCAUUUUAACUCCUUCCUAUUCUUUCUUUUCAUAUUUGACCCCCUUUCCUUGUCAUUGCUCACAUUUCUGGCUAAUCUAGAAUGUUCUCUUGUCUUCUUAUACCUGACAGCACUAGUUCACUAAUGAACACUUUUACUUGGGCUUUUUAGACGGGUUUGGGGUUCUUAGCCACAUAACCUCCUUGCUGGUCUUGAUAUACAUUCCCAUGAUGUCAGCUCUGGGCCCUACGGGAGCAAAUCUCAACUUGUGACACCAGUGCAUCUGGGCUGCAGACUCUUUUACUUAAUUGCUUGCUUCAACACCUCUCUUUGCUCCCACAUCUUCCCACUUGACAUGUCACUCCAUAUCUCUGUGGUUAAGAAAUUUAAUUGCUGGAUUGAAACUAUGGAUUCAGUUUCAUGUAGAUGGAUUUGUGGAUUCAGUCAUUAUAAUAGUAAAAAGUAUUUAUUAAGUGUCUGUGCAUGGUGAUAUAUAAAAAGGGCUGACA
Molecule: long non-coding RNA, 796 nt
Organism: Bos indicus x Bos taurus (hybrid cattle)
Lineage: Eukaryota; Metazoa; Chordata; Mammalia; Artiodactyla; Bovidae
Source: Ensembl